CCUACGGGAGGCAGCAGUAGGGAAUAUUGCUCAAUGGGGGAAACCCUGAAGCAGCAACGACGCGUGGAGGAUGAAGGUUUUCGGCUUGUAAACUCCUUUUGUUAGAGACGAUAAUGACGGUAUCUAACGAAUAAGCACCGGCUAACUCAGUGCCAGCAGCCGCGGUAAUACGGAGGGUGCAAGCGUUACUCGGAAUCACUGGGCGUAAAGAGCGCGUAGGCGGGAUAGCAAGUCAGAGGUGAAAUCCUAUGGCUUAACCAUAGAACUGCAUUUGAAACUGUUAUUCUAGAGUAUGGGAGAGGUAGGUGGAAUUCGUGGUGUAGGGGUAAAAUCCGUAGAGAUCAAGAGGAAUACUCAUUGCGAAGGCGACCUACUAGAACAUAACUGACGCUGAUGCGCGAAAGCGUGGGGAGCAAACAGGAUUAGAUACCCCUGGAGUC
This 440-nucleotide ribosomal RNA is filed under the name uncultured bacterium. RNAcentral's name for it is "partial 16S ribosomal RNA". It matches the Rfam family "Bacterial small subunit ribosomal RNA", at positions 338 to 795 of the family's 1533-position model. The record is from RNAcentral.